AUUUAAGUAGUUUAUCAAAAUAUUAAUUUGUGGAAUUAAAGAUAUAAAAUUUUUAUUUUAAAUA
RNAcentral lists this transfer RNA (64 nucleotides) under Bradysia amoena. RNAcentral describes it as "tRNA-His". Lineage: Eukaryota; Metazoa; Arthropoda; Insecta; Diptera; Sciaridae. The record is from RNAcentral.